UGUCAGGUCUCAUGCAAUGGGAAGCCGACGAAUUCCGCCAGGACCGGAAGGUAGCAACGGCAGUCAGGAUUCCUAUGUGCCGUGAGUCGCCUGGCACUU
RNAcentral lists this signal recognition particle RNA (99 nucleotides) under Puniceicoccales bacterium. RNAcentral describes it as "signal recognition particle sRNA small type". It matches the Rfam family "Bacterial small signal recognition particle RNA". Rfam says of the family: The signal recognition particle (SRP) is a universally conserved ribonucleoprotein involved in the co-translational targeting of proteins to membranes. Archaeal SRP consists of a 7S RNA and homologues of the eukaryotic SRP19 and SRP54 proteins. Lineage: Bacteria; Pseudomonadati; Verrucomicrobiota; Opitutia; Puniceicoccales. The record is from RNAcentral.